AGUCAAGAACGGGUGUGAGAGUGGAAAGUUCACACUGUGACGGUASCUUACCAGAAAGGGACGGCUAACUACGUGCCAGCAGCCGCGGUAAUACGUAGGUCCCGAGCGUUGUCCGGAUUUAUUGGGCGUAAAGCGAGCGCAGGCGGUUUGAUAAGUCUGAAGUUAAAGGCUGUGGCUCAACCAUAGUUCGCUUUGGAAACUGUCAAACUUGAGUGCAGAAGGGGAGAGUGGAAUUCCAUGUGUAGCGGUGAAAUGCGUAGAUAUAUGGAGGAACACCGGUGGCGAAAGCGGCUCUCUGGUCUGUAACUGACGCUGAGGCUCGAAAGCGUGGGGAGCGAACAGGAUUAGAUACCCUGGUAGUCCACGCCGUAAACGAUGAGUGCUAGGUGUUGGAUCCUUUCCGGGAUUCAGUGCCGCAGCUAACGCAUUAAGCACUCCGCCUGGGGAGUACGACCGCAAGGUUGAAACUCAAAGGAAUUGACGGGGGCCCGCACAAGCGGUGGAGCAUGUGGUUUAAUUCGAAGCAACGCGAAGAACCUUACCAGGUCUUGACAUCCCGAUGCUAUUUCUAGAGAUAGAA
Molecule: ribosomal RNA, 580 nt
Filed under: Streptococcus thermophilus
Lineage: Bacteria; Bacillati; Bacillota; Bacilli; Lactobacillales; Streptococcaceae
Description: bacterial SSU rRNA
Rfam family: Bacterial small subunit ribosomal RNA
Source: RNAcentral